This 22-nucleotide microRNA is filed under the name Human alphaherpesvirus 2. Its description in RNAcentral is "hsv2-miR-H19". Its record names the gene hsv2-miR-H19. The record is from miRBase by way of RNAcentral. Lineage: Duplodnaviria; Heunggongvirae; Peploviricota; Herviviricetes; Herpesvirales; Orthoherpesviridae.
UUCGCUAGGCAAGCACGGACUG